AGCAGUGGGGAAUUUUCCGCAAUGGGCGAAAGCCUGACGGAGCAACGCCGCGUGAGGGAUGAAGGCCUCUGGGCUGUAAACCUCUUUUAUCAAGGAAGAAGAUCUGACGGUACUUGAUGAAUAAGCCACGGCUAAUUCCGUGCCAGCAGCCGCGGUAAUACGGGAGUGGCAAGCGUUAUCCGGAAUUAUUGGGCGUAAAGCGUCCGCAGGCGGCCCUUCAAGUCUGCUGUUAAAAAGUGGAGCUUAACUCCAUCAUGGCAGUGGAAACUGAGGGGCUUGAGUGUGGUAGGGGCAGAGGGAAUUCCCGGUGUAGCGGUGAAAUGCGUAGAUAUCGGGAAGAACACCAGUGGCGAAGGCGCUCUGCUGGGCCAUCACUGACGCUCAUGGACGAAAGCCAGGGGAGCGAAAGGGAUUAGAUACCCCUGUAGUCCUGGCCGUAAACGAUGAACACUAGGUGUCGGGGGAAUCGACCCCCUCGGUGUCGUAGCCAACGCGUUAAGUGUUCCGCCUGGGGAGUACGCACGCAAGUGUGAAACUCAAAGGAAUUGACGGGGGCCCGCACAAGCGGUGGAGUAUGUGGUUUAAUUCGAUGCAACGCGAAGAACCUUACCAGGGUUUGACAUCCUGCGAAUCUCUUGGAAACGAGAGAGUGCCUUCGGGAGCGCAGUGACAGGUGGUGCAUGGCUGUCGUCAGCUCGUGUCGUGAGAUGUUGGGUUAAGUCCCGCAACGAGCGCAACCCACGUCUUUAGUUGCCAGCAUUUAGUUGGGCACUCUAGAGAGACCGCCGGUGAUAAACCGGAGGAAGGUGUGGAUGACGUCAAGUCAUCAUGCCCCUUACAUCCUGGGCUACACACGUACUACAAUGCUACGGACAAAGGGCAGCAAGUUCGCGAGGACAAGCAAAUCCCAUAAACCGUGGCUCAGUUCAGAUCGUAGGCUGCAACUCGCCUACGUGAAGGAGGAAUCGCUAGUAAUCGCAGGUCAGCAUACUGCGGUGAAUACGUUCCCGGGCCUUGUACACACCGCCCGUCACACCAUGGAAGUUGGCCACGCCCGAAGCCGUUACUCCAACCCUUGUGGAGGAGGACGUCGAAGGUGGGGCUGAUGACUGGGGUGAAGUCGUAACAAGGUAUCCGUACCGGAAGGUGCGGAUGGAUCACCUCCUAA
RNAcentral lists this ribosomal RNA (1168 nucleotides) under Synechococcus sp. AH-551-E05. Its description in RNAcentral is "bacterial SSU rRNA". It matches the Rfam family "Bacterial small subunit ribosomal RNA", at positions 350 to 1533 of the family's 1533-position model. Lineage: Bacteria; Bacillati; Cyanobacteriota; Cyanophyceae; Synechococcales; Synechococcaceae. The record is from RNAcentral.